RNAcentral lists this ribosomal RNA (330 nucleotides) under Triticum aestivum (bread wheat). Its description in RNAcentral is "partial small subunit ribosomal RNA". The record is from RNAcentral. Lineage: Eukaryota; Viridiplantae; Streptophyta; Magnoliopsida; Poales; Poaceae.
AUGCGUAUGUUGAGAUGGAUGUGUGGCCACACGAGGAAGGAUCGAGUCCGGAAUGAUGAUAUACGAGAUAGAGUUGGGGUAGCACCAAUUGAGGAGAAGCUUGUCCAACAUCGUUUGAGGUGGUUUGGGCAUAUUCAGCGCAGGCCUCCAGAAGCUCCAGUGCAUAGCGGACGGCUAAAGCGUGCGGAGAAUGUCAAGAGAGGGCGGGGUCGACCGAUUUUGACAUGGGAGGAGUCCGUUAAGAGAGACCUGAAGGAUUGGAGUAUCGACAAAGAGCUAGCUAUGGACAGGGGUGCGUGGAAGCUUGCUAUCCAUGUGCCAGAGCCAUGA